Long non-coding RNA from Trematomus bernacchii (emerald rockcod), 799 nucleotides. RefSeq lists it as uncharacterized. The record is from RefSeq and is a predicted model, not a curated record. The transcript is spliced from 5 exons. Lineage: Eukaryota; Metazoa; Chordata; Actinopteri; Perciformes; Nototheniidae.
GGGUGAUGCAAAAGUGGAAGGAGAGGUUUCGGAAACUGUGACGCUGUGCUUUGUCAGCACAGGGUGGAAGACAGGGGGCUGGGAGACUGCUGCUGCUGCUGCUGCUGAAGGGACCCGGAGAACAUUAAGGUCUCACAUGUGACAGAUCUUGAUAUGAGGGAGGCUUUCUGGCACCAAAUCUUGUGGAUCAAUAAACUUUGGCCGAGACCCCAUCACAACAUCCCGGUCAUUUGCUGCAGAAGACAAGGUUACCAUGGGGACGUACUCAACAGGUGGAGAGAGAAAACGUCCCCGUCCUGGCGCUGGCUGCCAGUUGAUGCCGUUCCUCUGAUCCCUCGGAUGUUGCCACAGGCUUGGCACGCUUGGUUGUCCAGGUGAUGGCAACCGUGGAGACAGAGGGCCUGACCGGUCUUGGCCCACUCUGUUACGCCAACUGUGCCAACUUACCGUCAACUGGACGCUAAACAUCAGCGACACAGGCCACGCCUUCCUCUGCUGCAAACCUGAAAACAUAUCAACCAAAAGGGUACACAGCCAUUUGAAAUCAGAUUGGCCACCCUCAAAUCCAAGCACAUUAGAAGGAAGACUGUUGAAAUAACCGACCCGGCAUCAGCGGGGUAGGGGGUUUAUUUAGCUGCUGGUGGGCUGUACGGAGCACAGAGAAGAGAUUUGCAGAGACAGCCCAUAACAGUUCCCUUGGAUCCAAUGACUCAGAUAUGCAGAUGUGUUUACUUCCCUUCUGUAUCCCACCUCAACCAGCACACAAAAGGCAGGGGGAAUAAAAGUGCCUGAUAAUGUC